GAUGAACGCUGGCGGCGUGCCUAAUACAUGCAAGUCGAGCGAACAGACGAGGAUCUUGCUCCUCUGACGUUAGCGGCGGACGGGUGAGUAACACGUGUAUAACCUACCUAUAAGACUGGGAUAACUUCGGGAAACCGGAGCUAAUACCGGAUAAUAUAUUGAACCGCAUGGUUCAAUAGUGAAAUACGGUUUUUCUGUCACUUAUAGCUGGAUCGCGGCCUCAUUAGCUAGUUGUUAAGGUAACAGCUUACCAAGGCAACGAUGCGUAGCCGACCUGAGAGGGGGAUAGGCCACACUGGAACUGAGCCACGGUCAAGACUACUACGGGAGGCAGCAGUAGGGAAUGUUACGCAGUGGGCGAAAGCAUGACGGAGCAACGCGGCGUGAGUGAUGAAGGUCUUCGGAUCGUAAAACUCUGUUAUGAGGGAAGAACAAAUGUGUAAGUAACUAUGCACGUCUUGACGGUACCUAAUAAGAAAGCCACGGCUAACUACGUG
RNAcentral lists this ribosomal RNA (497 nucleotides) under uncultured bacterium. RNAcentral describes it as "partial 16S ribosomal RNA". It matches the Rfam family "Bacterial small subunit ribosomal RNA", at positions 28 to 507 of the family's 1533-position model. The record is from RNAcentral.